CAGGUUGCAGGUCCUAUAUUCUGUUAUCAACCAAUCUUGGAGCAGCAAGACGGCAAUUUAUUGAUGAUUGCCAUGGGCAUAGAAAGGAACUUGGACAUGCUUGAAUACCAUCAGGUUAAGAAGGAUGAGAACACUUCGAUAAGAAUAUUCAACCACUUGAAACACUUGCUGCAAUCCAUUUUACCAGUUUUAUCAACAACAUUUGAGGAAUACCUUGUGAGCAUGAAUCUGAAAAGGGCAACCUCUGUUCUUCAGAGGCCAGGUGGCUUGACAGCACCCAUUAUGCCUAAUCUGGAUAACAUCAGAAGCCAACUUGCCACUGCCAGUCCAUCUGUGGAGAUGCAAAACCAGUCAGGAAUGGAAGAAACAAUAGAGAUGCAGCUUGUGGAGAAAGGACAAGAUGGUAUAUAUUUAGUGCCGUUUCUUCUUUCUAAUGAGGCUGAAGAUUUUGUUGUCCCAAUACAGAAUAUAUAUAAUAAUGCAAGGGUGAAACAACAUUUUGACGCGAGAAUGCUGGUUAACCUUUCUGGCGGAUCCACAAUGAUUUCCUCUAAAGUUUCAGUUACGAGCUGUAUAAAUGAACUAAUGAAUGCCCAUGUAAUCAACUCAGACAAUCAUUUGCCUCCUGUGCACAGCCAUGAAUUUAUAAACUGGAUAGAAAAUCUAUUUUCUGUUUGUGGUGGUAGUCGAAAGGCACAUGACCAAAAGAUGAAGGAUCUUGAGGAGGUUAUUCAGUGUGGUUUGGCUGGAAAGAAGUUUCUGUUAAUUUUGCAUGGUAUCUCUGAAGAUCAAAUGGCCCAAUGGGAGUAUUUGUUCAGAGCAAUCAAGUCUGGCAGCAAAGGCAGCAAAAUUAUUGUUUCAACAAGAAGUGCAAAUGUGGAAAAAUCAGUGAGAAAUGUAAAUAUCCUGCAGAGUGAUGAAGUUGAGAACAAUGUAUCUUGGCGCUUUUUCAGAAACUUUGCCUUUGACAGCUUUAACAUAGAUGGUUAUCAAGUGGAACUUGGCAUACAAAUGAGUACUCUGUUGAGGCGGUUUCCUAUAGCCAUGAAAAUGAUUGGAUGCAUGUUAAAAAAUAACCCUACGAAGAAAUUUUGGAGAAGUGUUUACCAAAACAUAAUCCAAAUAGUAAUAGACAGAAAAGAAGCAGAUGAUCACGUCCAACUUCUCUCACUCCUCAAACUGUGUUAUGAUCAAUUGCCUGCACCUGUAGGCCUGUGUUUCAGUUAUUGUAGCUUAUACCCUAAAACCUGGAGGUUCACAGAUCAAAGUUUAAUUCACAUUUGGAUGUCGGAAGGAAUCACGGAAGAUGUAGGGAGGAGAUAUUUUGACUGCUUGUACUCAAGAGGCUUUCUUGAACUAUUAAAUCUGCAUUGCAGACAAUCUCCAACAUGCUAUGUUAUGCAUCGUUCUGUUCACCGUUUGGCAGAAGUUGUCUCUGCAAAAUGGUUCCGUAGAGUUGAGAGCAAUUAUCUGCCAGCAAGUUCACGACUUAUGACCCAUAUGUCAGUUACGAGUGGUUUUCUUCCCACCUUACGGAAGUUCAGAUGGCGAAUCACUGAGCUGCAUCUGCGCACUCUAAUUGUGUUUGGUCCAUCUGAACAUACUGAACCCAGCACAGAGGACAUUCUUGAUGAAAUUCUUAGAAGCCAGAAGUAUAUAAGAGCACUUGAUUUAACUGGAUGUGGUAUGCAGAAGCUGCCUGAACUGUCCAAUGAGUCGAGACAUCAUCUUCGCUAUUUGAGCCUCCAAGAUACCGGUAUUGGAACACUGGAAAAUUUUGACAAAUUUUACCAUCUCCUGGUUUUUAACAUCCGAGGUUGUCAACUAAGAAGUUUGCCAGAUCAUACUUCACAAAAAUUAUUGAGAGUAAGGCAUAUCAUUGGACCUGCUUCCCUGGUUUCAUCAAUACAUCAUAUCGGGAAUCUCAAGAAUCUUCAAGAGCUACAAGAGUUCAGAGUUGGUAAGCGACCUGGGCAUGGUAUAGAGGAGCUACAAGAUAUGAAUCUGAGAAAGUCACUCUCUAUUACAAACCUCGAGAACGUAAUAAGUGCAACAAAAGCAGGCGAGGUUAACUUAAGCUUGAAGACUUGUCUUGUUUCUCUGAGACUAGAAUGGCAUUCCGCAGAGGAAACCUCGCAAUCGAUGAGCACAGUAGUUCUUGAACAGCUCCAACCACCGAACUCUCUCAAUGAACUGGAAAUCAAUGGGUACCCAGGCUUCGUAUUUCCCACCUGGUUUACCGAAGAUCAUCUGAUAAAUGUGAAGAAAGUCACACUGAGGAAUUGUUCGUUUGUCAGUGUGAUUGCCCCUCUGGCCAAGUUUCCUAGUUUGGAAGAGCUGAUUUUAGAGAGAUUUUCUAUGUUGGAGAGAAUAUCAGAAUCUGAAGAAUCUGAUCGGACAAGUUACUUCAAAUAUCCUUUCAGAUUUUUAGGGUUUCCAGCAGAGACAUCCUGUCGCUUCCCAAGAUUGGUUAAACUUCGCAUUGAGGAUAUGACAGUACUAGAAGAAUGGACAGAGCAACAACCAUGCUUCCCCUGCCUUGAGGAACUUACAGUAAGGAACUGCCCGAAACUCGCUGUUUUGCCUCCUCUUCACCAUGCUAGAGUUAACAGGAUGCAUAUAGAGGGGUUGCCAUUGAUAUCCUUUAAUUCUUCUAGGAUGGGAUCAGUUGUUCCUUUUGGUGCAUUUCUGGAUGUUCCUAAUCGAUGUCCCAAUAGAGUUGAAGCUAGAGCAUUGCAGCCAUCUAGGGUGUUCAUCCUGCGACAUUGCCCCAACCUAUCAACUUUCACAAUUACAGCAGACAAUUCUAGUUCUAGCCACGGCUUUGGGCCUCUACUUCAGCUAGAAAUAACUGGUACGAAGUGCACCCCUUCUACUCUUUUUUAUACGACGGCUUAUCAUUUUUACUUCUGAAAUAGUAACUGCACACAUUUCUCGUAAACUAACACUAUGCUCUCCCUUGAAAUCUGCUAAUUAUGGCCAUCAUCAUCUGCUCGCUGCAGACUGCAAGAAACUGAAGUCCAUUCAAGGUGCAUUCGCCUUUGUUGAGAAGCUGUACAUUGAGAAAUGCCACAGUUCUCUGAAACUGCAUAAUGGCAAUGCGAUGAAAUCACUCCACACUCUGCAUAUCGACAGCGUCGCAACGCAUAUGGAUCCAUUUCUGCUUGGCCUCCGGGCUCUCAGAAUCCUGAUCAUCAAAGACAGCGAAGAACUGAACUCACUCGAUGUAUUGCUGGAAUCUGACCAUUUGCCGGAUACACUGGAGCAGCUGCAGUUGAUCAACUGCAACAGCAUCAAAUCGCUGCCAUGGAAUAUGGACCGGGUCCUAGUUCUUGAGAGCCUCCAAUUGAUCAACUGUCCUAACAUGCAAUUCUUGCCUUGCCUGCCUAAUAAUCUGACUGAACUGCGCAUCAGUGGUUGCCCCAUUCUGAAGGAGAAGUAUGGCGAAUAUGGUCCUGAAUGGGACAACAUAUCCCAUGUGCCUUAUGUUUCUUUUGAUUAAGAAUGAAUUGUUUUCUGAACGAUGUGUUCUUAUUAGAGAAUGUGUGUUCUUUGACUUGUAGUAGAUUUUCAUUUAGUGAUUAUUGGUAUUACAUUAUGAGUAGUAAUAUUUCUGGGGUUGUAAAUCGCUUCUUGCGUGACUACUGACUAGAGUAUUAUUACUCAUCACGCUUCUAAUUGCCAAACACUUCGAAAUUUAGGGUUCACUACUUCGGUAUAGCACAAAAAUAAAAAAAAAUGAUGUCGGAGGUCAUCUCAUCGAACUUCAGAAAUUUCGGAAAUCCUAUUAAUGAUAAAAAAUAAAUUUCAGAAAUAUCUAGAAUGCUCUCGGGAAUUUCGAACGAAAGAUUCAAACAAAUUACUAAUAAAUUUGAAUAGAUUUUGCUGCAUUUGAGCUUACCUUACCCGUAGCUGCUCGGCUUGCCCACCUAUCCUUACCGGCGGCGACUCCAUUCCCCGCCGACAUCGAGACCUCGCGCCGCCGCCGCCGCCGCCGUGGGGAGCCCUCGAUUCGAAUGCGAUUGCUGCUGCGCGGAGACGAGAAAUCGCGAUUGGUGAGGGAGAGAGAGGAAAGGGGACGGGAGAUUAUUAGGGAUUUCGACCGUUUAAAACAGCGGUUUUGAC
RNAcentral lists this long non-coding RNA (4125 nucleotides) under Oryza sativa (Asian cultivated rice). Its description in RNAcentral is "long non-coding RNA (OSAT_LNC000010)". The record is from RNAcentral. Lineage: Eukaryota; Viridiplantae; Streptophyta; Magnoliopsida; Poales; Poaceae.